GACGAACGCUGGCGGCGUGCUUAACACAUGCAAGUCGAACGGAAAGGCCCCUUUGGGGGUACUCGAGUGGCGAACGGGGGAGUAACACGUGAGUAACCUGCCCUUUACUUCGGGAUAACUUCGGGAAACUGGGGCUAAUACCGGAUAGGAAUCCUUGCUGCAUGGGGGGGGUGGGAGAGCUUCUGGGGUUUUGGAUGGGUUGGCGGCCUAUAGGCGGGUUGGUGGGGUAGUGGCUUACCGAGGCUUUGACGGGUAGCCGGCCGGAGAGAGUGAGCGGCUACCCUGGGACUGAGAUACGGCCCAGGCGCCUACGGGUGGCAGAAGGGGGGAAUCUUGCACCAUGGGUGCAGGCCUGAUGCAGCAGGCCUGCGUGCGGGAUGGCGGCUUUGGUGUUGAAAACCGGUUUCAGCAGGGGCGAAGGUUGUGGUGACGGUACCUGAAGAAUAAGCACCGGCUAACUACGUG
This 465-nucleotide ribosomal RNA is filed under the name uncultured bacterium. Its description in RNAcentral is "partial 16S ribosomal RNA". It matches the Rfam family "Bacterial small subunit ribosomal RNA", at positions 28 to 507 of the family's 1533-position model. The record is from RNAcentral.